This 195-nucleotide ribosomal RNA is filed under the name uncultured bacterium. RNAcentral describes it as "partial 16S ribosomal RNA". It matches the Rfam family "Bacterial small subunit ribosomal RNA", at positions 335 to 529 of the family's 1533-position model. The record is from RNAcentral.
AUCGUACGGGAGGCAGCAGUGAGGAAUAUUGGUCAAUGGGCGAGAGCCUGAACCAGCCAAGUCGCGUGAAGGAUGACUGUCUUAUGGAUUGUAAACUUCUUUUGUAGGGGAAUAAAGAACGGUACGUGUACCGUAGUGAAUGUACCCUACGAAUAAGCAUCGGCUAACUCCGUGCCAGCAGCCGCGGUAAUCGAU